This 429-nucleotide ribosomal RNA is filed under the name Actinomycetes bacterium. RNAcentral describes it as "Actinobacteria bacterium partial 16S ribosomal RNA". It matches the Rfam family "Bacterial small subunit ribosomal RNA", at positions 355 to 776 of the family's 1533-position model. Lineage: Bacteria; Bacillati; Actinomycetota; Actinomycetes. The record is from RNAcentral.
UAGGGAAUCUUCCGCAAUGGGCGAAAGCCUGACGGAGCAACGCCGCGUGAGUGAUGAAGGUCUUCGGAUCGUAAAACUCUGUUAUUAGGGAAGAACAAAUGUGUAAGUAACUAUGCACGUCUUGACGGUACCUAAUCAGAAAGCCACGGCUAACUACGUGCCAGCAGCCGCGGUAAUACGUAGGUGGCAAGCGUUAUCCGGAAUUAUUGGGCGUAAAGCGCGCGUAGGCGGUUUUUUAAGUCUGAUGUGAAAGCCCACGGCUCAACCGUGGAGGGUCAUUGGAAACUGGAAAGCUUGAGUGCGGAAGAGGAAAGUGGAAUUCCAUGUGUAGCGGUGAAAUGCGCAGAGAUAUGGAGGAACACCAGUGGCGAAGGCGACUUUCUGGUCUGUAACUGACGCUGAUGUGCGAAAGCGAGGGGAUCAAACAGG